AUUGAACGCUGGCGGCAGGCCUAACACAUGCAAGUCGAACGGUAACAGGAAGCAGCUUGCUGCUUCGCUGACGAGUGGCGGACGGGUGAGUAAUGUCUGGGAAGCUGCCUGAUGGAGGGGGAUAACUACUGGAAACGGUAGCUAAUACCGCAUAAUGUCGCAAGACCAAAGAGGGGGACCUUCGGGCCUCUUGCCAUCGGAUUUGCCCAGAUGGGAUUUGCUUGUUGGUGGGGUAACGGCUCACCAAGGCGACGAUCCCUAGCUGGUCUGAGAGGAUGACCAGCCACACUGGAACUGAGACACGGUCCAGACUACUACGGGAGGCAGCAGUGGGGAAUAUUGCACAAUGGGGGCAAGCAUGAUGCAGCCAUGCCGCGUGUAUGAAGAAGGCCGUCGGGUUGUAAAGUACUUUCAGCGGGGAGGAAGGGAGUAAAGUUAAUACCUUUGCUGAUUGACGUUACCCGCAGAAGAAGCACCGGCUAACUCCGUG
RNAcentral lists this ribosomal RNA (490 nucleotides) under uncultured bacterium. RNAcentral describes it as "partial 16S ribosomal RNA". It matches the Rfam family "Bacterial small subunit ribosomal RNA", at positions 30 to 507 of the family's 1533-position model. The record is from RNAcentral.